GGUCAAGGUGCGAAUAAGGGUAGAUGGUGGAUGCCUCGACACGGCAAGACGAUGAAGGACGUAGCAGCCUGCGAUAAGCUUCGGGGAGGUGGCAAGCAACCGUUGAUCCGGAGAUCUCCGAAUGGGGUAACCCGGUCCUGUGAAGCAGGAUCAUUCCGGCAUGAAUUUAUAGUGUCGGAAAGACAACCUGGCGAAGUGAAACAUCUCAGUAGCCAGAGGAAAAGAGAACAACAUUAUCGCAAUUUUUCGCGGUCAGCUUUCGGCGUUCCAGCCUUCGGGUUGAACGCCUGGGGGCUGAUUGCGUGGAUUGCGCGAUUCCCCUAGUAGUGGCGAGCGAACGGGGAGCAGUCUAAACCGUCGCAACUUUACCGUUGGCGUGUCCCGCAAGGGGCGCGUCGGCGGCAUAACGGAUGUCAGUCCACAUGUUGCGAUGGCGUAGCAAGAUAUUGGCGGUUGAGCGCUGACAUGCUCUGGUAGGGUGACCCGAUCCGUCGGUAUAACUUCCCUAGGUGAACUCCCCUGGAACGGGGGGCCAUAGACGGUGAGAGCCCGGUAAGCGAAAGGGGUUAUAACUCUACGGCUAGUAUUCUUAAGUACCACGGGACUCGAGAAAUCUUGUGGGAAUCCGGCGUGACUAUGCGCUAAGACUAAAUACUCUGCCGCGAUCGAUAGUGAACCAGUACCGUGAGGGAACGGUGAAAAGCAGCCCGGUGAGGGCGAUGAAACAGUAUCUGAAACCAUCUACUUACAAGGAGUCGGAGUCCGCCGCAAGGUGGAUGACGGCGUUCCUAUUGAAGAAUGAGCCAACGAGUUUGUCGUCGUUGCAAGUCUAACCCCGACAGGGGGCAGGCGCAGUGAAAGCAAGGCUUAAUAGGCCGUUCCAGCAGCGGCGACAAGACCCGAAACCAGGCGAGCUAGCCAUGGCCAGGGUGAACCCCGAGUAACAUCGGGGGGAGGCCCGAACCGGUACGCUGUGCAAAACGUUCGGAUGAGUUGUGGCUAGGGAUGAAAUUUCAAUCGAGCUUGGUGAUAGCUGGUUCUCCUCGAAAUAGCUUAAGGGCUAGCCUCGGAUGGUACGCACGGGGGUAGAGCUACUGGAUGGGAGAAGGUGGCGAAAGCCUACUGCUUCCAAUCAAACUCCGAAUACCGUGCCGAAAACGUCCGGGAGUAAGACUGUGGGGGCUAAGCUCCAUUUAGUCUAAAGGGAAACAGCCCAGACCGUAAUCUAAGGUCCCCAAAUUCCUGCUCAGUGUGAAAGGCGGUGAUCCGACUCCGACAGCCAGGAGGUUGGCUUAGAAGCAGCCAUCCUUUAAAGAAAGCGUAACAGCUCACUGGUCAAGUUGGGUUGCGCCGAAAAUGUAACGGGGCUAAGCAGGGUACCGAAGAUACGGACCGACGUUUUCUCCGGAAGACGUCGGUGGUAGAGGAGCGUUCCGAGGGCGGUGAAGUCGGACCCGUGAGGGCCGGCGGAGCGCUCGGAAGUGAGAAUGUUGGCACAAGUAGCAUAACGGCAGGUGAAAACCCUGCCCACCGAAAACCCAAGGGUUCCUGGGCACCGCAAAUCGACCCAGGGUUAGUCGGCCCUAAGGCGAGGCCGAAAGGCGUAGCCGAUGGAUGAGCUGGUUAAUAUUCCAGCACUGCACUACGUUUUCGAUGGGGUGACGCGGUUCGAACGGUUUGGCGUCUAUUGGUAUGGACGUCGCUGGCUGCUGGAUGGCGCGGAGGCAAAUCCCCGCGCGGAAUUCCGGCGGUUGGCGGAAGGGAAAGCUUCGGCCGACCCAACUGAAUCCGACGCGCUGACAAGAAAAACCUCUAGAGUUAAGCGUGGUGCAACCGUACCGUAAACCGACACAGGUAGGUUGGUAGAGCAUACUAAGGUGUACGAGAGAACCUUCGUUAAGGAACUCGGCAAUGUAGCGUUCGUAAGUUCGCAAUAAGGACUGGUCCGAUUCGUCGGACCCGCAGCGAACGAUCUCAAGCGACUGUUUACCAAAAACACAGGUCCCUGCGAAAGCGCAAGCUGAAGUAUAGGGGCUGAUGCCUGGCCAGGGUCAGAACGUUAAGGGGAGAGGUCAUGCUGCCGCAAGGCAGCGGCAGCCUUGAACCGAAGCGCUGAUGAACGCCGGCGGUAACUAUAACCGUCCUAAGGUGGAUAUGCUGCCUUAGUGAGGCGAAAGACCUCCGUUCCGAACUCCCGUUGCCAGGGAGAGGUAGGAAUGAAAAUUUGGCUGUAUCGGUGAACAUCCCGCCAGCGGCGGGACAACACCGAGGCAACCCCAGUUCGAUAUUUCGAAGUUUCGAUAUGUCGAGUGGGAAAGUCCGUAGAGACUAUACGCCAGAUCCGCCCAGGGCGGAAAGAUAUAGUCCGAUCUGCAGGGCGACUUGCAGCGCGCGGCAGAAAUGACCGCGCCCUCUCGCAAGAGAGUGUAACAAACAGAGCGAAAUCCCUUGUCGGGUGAGUUCCGACCCGCACGAAUGGCAUAACGACUUGAGAACUGUCUUAACGAGGGACUCGGCGAAACUGCAAGACCCGUGAAGAUGCGGGUUACCCACGGUAGGACGAAAAGACCCCGUGAAGCUUUACUAUAGCUUGCUACUGGUGUCACGUCGUUCCUGUUCAGCAUAGGUGGGAGAUUCGCCGCAAGGCGAGUCACCAAUGAGAUACCACCCUGGGACGAUGCGACUCCUAACCUACGACCGUGAAUCCGGUCGGGGGACCGUAGCUGGUGGGUAGUUUAACUGGGGCGGUUGCCUCCCAAACAGUAACGGAGGCGUUUACAAAGGUAGGCUAGGUGCGGAUGGAAAUCGCGCCGAUAGGGCAAACCCAAAAGCCUGCUUUACUGCAAGACUGACACGUCGAGCAGUCGCGAAAGCGGAAGUUAGUGAUCCGACCGUACGAUAUAGGACGGCGGAAGCUCAUCGGAUAAAAGCUACUCCGGGGAUAACAGGCUAGUCUGGUCCAAGAGUCCACAUCGACGACCAGGUUCGGCACCUCGAUGUCGGCCCGUCGCAUCCUGGGGGUGGAGAAGCUCCCAAGGGUUUGGCUGUUCGCCAAUUAAAGCGGCACGCGCGCUGGGUUCAGAACGUCGUGAGACAGUUCGGUCUCCUGUCCUUCGUGGGCGUAGAAAUUUGAGGAGUCCCAUCUCUAGUACGAGAGGACCGAGAUGGACGAACCGCUCGUGUACCAGUUGUCCCACCCGGGGCAUCGCUGGGUAGCGACGUUCGGUUUCGAUAAGCGCUGAAAGCAUCUAAGCGCGAAGCGGUCUCCAAGAUUAGAUUUCAUUACAGGCCCCCGCGAGAUGAGCGGGUUGAUAGGCCCAUGGUGGAAGCUCCGCGAGGAGUGAAGCCUACGGGUACUAAUCGGCCGAUGCAUCUUGACCAC
RNAcentral lists this ribosomal RNA (3382 nucleotides) under bacterium. Its description in RNAcentral is "23S ribosomal RNA". It matches the Rfam family "Bacterial large subunit ribosomal RNA". The record is from RNAcentral.